Molecule: ribosomal RNA, 87 nt
Filed under: Mabea rubicunda
Lineage: Eukaryota; Viridiplantae; Streptophyta; Magnoliopsida; Malpighiales; Euphorbiaceae
Description: partial 5.8S ribosomal RNA
Rfam family: 5.8S ribosomal RNA
About the family: 5.8S ribosomal RNA (5.8S rRNA) is a component of the large subunit of the eukaryotic ribosome.
Source: RNAcentral
UGCAGGAUCCCGCGAACCAUCGAGUUUUUGAACGCAAGUUGCGCCCGAAGCCUUUUGGCCGAGGGCACGUCUGCCUGGGUGUCACGC